GUCCUUAUAGCUAGAUAGAAUUCUUCACAGCGGUACAUAUUUAUGAUAAGGGGAGUUUCUUGUAGUCUGCUUUUUAACAUUCGGUAAACAUUUCAAGGCAGGUUUUUGCACACUUAAUAAUGUGCAGAUUAUUUUAUAUACUACUGGCUCUAGAAAAAAAUAGUCAUUAUGAAUUUCUGUUUUCAGUGAUGUUUUUAAGUGAGUUUUAAGCUUACUUUAUUAUAUAGAUGGUGUAAGUAGUUUAUACAAAUGAAGACACUCAAGUAAUUUGUGGUAUAUAACUGUAGUAUAAUACAACUAAUAACUGAAGGAAUAAGAACUAAGACUGUAUUUCUCAACUUUGCCAUCAAUCUUCAGGUUUUUUCCAGUAUUUAUAAGAAGAAAUGGCUAAUAAUAGUGCCAGAGAACAUUAAUUCAUCUAAUCAAGGUCACACAUAGUGGGGAUUGAAUCCAGUGCUUGUAUACUGAGCUACAUCCCUGGUCCUUUUUAAGACAGCUUUUUGCUGAGUCACUGAACCAAGUCACUGAGCCGAACUUAAAUUUUCAGCCUUCUUGCUGUAGCCUGCGGGGAUGCUGAGAUUACAGGUGUGUGUCACCACACCAGCAUGUGAGGUGAAAUUUUUGUUUAGUAAAUAAAGAGAAUUUAGUUUAUAAAUAAUCUUAUAUGUGUCAAGAACCAUGAGAGGUCUGAGAUUUUGUACUUAUGCUAACAGGUUAGUCUGCCCUAGUUGUAUAAGCGUUAGCAGAAGGUAUGAGCCUCUUGGGUUAUAGAGACAAAGGAAAGUUUUGCAGUAGCUGUAACCAGGGUAUUGAUUUGCACUUGGUUAUUGUAGGUAGGUUGAAGAGAUAAGGUGAUAGGUGUACACAAGGUAGGUUGAUAUGCCAUAAUGGUGCGCUGUACAGACACUCUUGAAAGGAUAAUUUGGAGUGAAGGGUGAUAAAGGGCACUGUAGGCAAACAGUUCUUUGAAUUUUCACUUAAAACAGAAUUUACUGAGGACAGUGACCACAUGGUGAGUACUUAGUGUUUAUUGAAAUAAAUGAACCUUCAAAAACUAAAUAUUAUAGAAUUAUGUGUCUAUAGAGAUAACCAUUAUCUUAACAUUCUUUCUGUUAUACUUCCAUUAUAUGAACUUUCUUUUUUAUUAGCAUCACUUUAGAAUGUUUUUCUCUUAUUUCUGUGAACUAACAUUCAGAUGGCACAGGGUUGAUUUAAAGUGAAAUUGAAGGGCUGGGGAUUUAGCUCAGCAGCAUAAUGCCUGCCUAGUAAGCGUGUGGUCAUGAGUUUGAUCCCCAGUAUCAAAAAAAUAAAUAAA
Cavia porcellus (domestic guinea pig) is the source of this 1315-nucleotide long non-coding RNA. RefSeq lists it as uncharacterized. NCBI's taxonomy places the organism in Eukaryota, Metazoa, Chordata, Mammalia, Rodentia, Caviidae. The transcript is spliced from 2 exons. The record is from RefSeq and is a predicted model, not a curated record.